Molecule: ribosomal RNA, 301 nt
Filed under: uncultured bacterium
Lineage: Bacteria
Description: partial 16S ribosomal RNA
Rfam family: Bacterial small subunit ribosomal RNA
Source: RNAcentral
CAGCAGCCGCGGGAAUACGGAGGAUCCAAGCGUUAUCCGGAAUCAUUGGGUUUAAAGGGUCCGUAGGCGGUUUAGUAAGUCAGUGGUGAAAGCCCAUCGCUCAACGGUGGAACGGCCAUUGAUACUGCUGAACUUGAAUUAUUAGGAAGUAACUAGAAUAUGUAGUGUAGCGGUGAAAUGCUUAGAGAUUACAUGGGAUACCAAUUGCGAAGGCAGGUUACUACUAAUUGAUUGACGCUGAUGGACGAAAGCGUGGGGAGCGAACAGGAUUAGAUACCCGCGUAGUCCCUGUCUCUUAUAC